UACGGAGGGAGCUAGCGUUGUUCGGAAUCACUGGGCGUAAAGAGUGCGUAGGCGGUUAUGAAAGUUAGGAGUGAAAGCCCCAGGCUCAACCUGGGAAUUGCUUUUAAAACUACAUAACUCGAAUUCGGGAGAGGAUAGCGGAAUUGUCAGUGUAGCAGUGAAAUGCGUAGAUAUUGACAGGAACACCGGUGGCGUAAGCGGCUAUCUGGACCGACAUUGACGCUGAGGCACGAAAGCGUGGGGAUCAAACAGG
RNAcentral lists this ribosomal RNA (253 nucleotides) under uncultured bacterium. RNAcentral's name for it is "partial 16S ribosomal RNA". It matches the Rfam family "Bacterial small subunit ribosomal RNA", at positions 524 to 776 of the family's 1533-position model. The record is from RNAcentral.